Molecule: ribosomal RNA, 550 nt
Filed under: bacterium BaA1-9
Lineage: Bacteria
Description: bacterial SSU rRNA
Rfam family: Bacterial small subunit ribosomal RNA
Source: RNAcentral
CUCUUUUGUUAGGGCGGACGGCGGAGUAACGCUUGGGGGACCUGCCUGGGAAACUGGGAGAAUCCGGGGAACCGGGGUUCUUGGGGAUGGUUGGUCGUUGGGGACGGCUCCGGCACUUUUGGGGGCUUCUGCUACCGAUUACAGAUGCCCGGAGGGCGCAUUUCUGAGGGUCCCGUUUGGAUCCGACUAUCCUUCGCUGGUCAGAGAGGUGAGAGGGUGAUCGGCCACACUGGGACUGACAAACGGGAUAGACUCCUACGGGAGGGGGAGUUAUUGAUCUUCCAAAGUGGACGAAAGGCUGACGUAGCGCCUCCGCGUGAGGGAUGAUUGUUUUCCGAAGUCCUUUUUCUGUUGAUGAAGAAGAACAAGUUAAGUUCCAAUAGGGUGGUAGCUUGCCGGUAAUAACCCCGGGUCACUCCUAACUACGUGCCAGCAUCCGCGGUAAUGCGUAGGUGGUAAGCGUUGUCCGGAAUUAUUGGGCGCACAGAGGUCGUCUGUCAAUUUCUAAAGUCAAACCUCCAGGCUCCCCCCUGUCGAACUGGGUAUGGAC